AUGGAGGGCUGUGGCGGGUCAGCAAGCCUUUGGGGGCCUCCUGAGGGGGGACGUGGGAGGAGAGGAAGCCGAGGGUCUCUGGCUCUCCCUCGGGUCUCCCUGACUCCCCUGGCCCACUGGCCUCCACUCCAGGCGCCAGCAGAGAGGAGGAAGGGCAGGACCGAGCCGCCCUUGAGAUGGGGCUCGAAGCCUUCCUGCCGGCGUAGAGAAGCAGGGGCUUCGCCGGACGGACGGCUGGUCCGAGAGAAGGACGAGAUCUCUAAGCACCUAAACCAAGCUGGAAGAGAGAAGAAGCGCGCGGGCGAUCGGGAGCGCCCGCCUGCUAUGGGUUAGACCCGAUGUGCCCCGACGUCCAGACGCGCGUGUGUCUUUUAGCACUAGACUUAGAGGGGGGCUCUCUGUCGCACACGCCUGCAGUGGGUUUGCAGAACGAAGCACUUUUGAUGUGGGGGCCCUGGUGGUGCCGCCCCCCCGCCCCAUCCCAACCCUGCCCAAUUUGCUAUAAUAUUAUUUUAUACACACAAAAGAAACCAUUGUUUUGGUUGCAGAAAUGUUCUAAUUUGUUUUUGUCUGUCUAUAAACUAUUCUAAGUACUAUUUUUGUUAUAAUUCAAAAUAGAUAUUUAGUCUGAAGGGUUUUUGUGCUGUUAAAUAUUUGUUAUUUAGUAAACUCUGGCCCCGCGCCAUGAUUGUAAACGUGGUUCAGAAAUAUUAAUGUUGUUAGCGUGGUCUUGCCUUUAAUAUUGAGCAAAGAGCGCCCUUCCGUGGUUGCCUUUCGUGUCGUCUGUCAUGGAGCUGGCGCUGUGUGUGUGAGCGUGGUCUCUGUUGUGUGGUUUAAUAUGUAUAUAAUAUUUCGUGAGAUAUAUUCCCAGUGAAUGUUGUGUGACGUGAUCUCAAACAUAAUCCAUCCAUGUGGCUAUUUUAUAGACUUCCAUAAUAAAAAGAGGGGACUCUGCCUGGCCUUGCUUCUC
Molecule: long non-coding RNA, 970 nt
Filed under: Monodelphis domestica (gray short-tailed opossum)
Lineage: Eukaryota; Metazoa; Chordata; Mammalia; Didelphimorphia; Didelphidae
Description: lncRNA (ENSMODG00000051321.1)
Source: RNAcentral